Molecule: long non-coding RNA, 864 nt
Filed under: Triticum aestivum (bread wheat)
Lineage: Eukaryota; Viridiplantae; Streptophyta; Magnoliopsida; Poales; Poaceae
Description: long non-coding RNA (TAES_LNC026606)
Source: RNAcentral
UCAGUUUCACAUUCAGAUUUCAGUCCUGAACAAUGUUAAAACUACAUUAAGACUUGCAGCAACGAGCAAAUCUUCGGUCCAUUUGAUACAGUGUUAGAUUCAGUUUAUCAAAUGCAGCAACGAGCAGUUUUAAAACUAACAUAAUUUCAGUGAGCAUACAUCACUGCUAGCUUAAACAUCAGAUUCAGGUUUCAGAUUUCACAUCCUGAACAUGUGCUUGAACACCAGAUUUCAUAGUUCUGAACAUACAUCCAGAUUCUCCUGAACUUUGCGAUGAACGACAAGUCAAUGGCAGCCCCUUAUUUAUGAUGAAUUUGAUUCUCCUGAACAUCAAAUUUUAGUGCUGAACUUUUCCAAGUCAAUGGCAGCUGCUCUGAAGAACUGUCCUGAAUAUUAGAACAAAGUUUCAGGAAUUUACUUUGUAGCUUAUAUCAAGCUUUUUCAUGCCGAUCAUUUGUUUCAAUAACAUACAUGCAGCUAGCAAACAUGCGGACAUGCACGUGUACUGAACUGGGACAUGCAGCUAGCGAGCACUGAUGAAAAUAAGCUAUUGUAUAGAUUGAUACUACUCCCUCCGUUCACUUCUAUAAGACGUCCUAGACAUUUAGGACAGCACUUAAAACAGUUUAAUUUCAGCUGCCUAAAACGACUUACAAAAGUGAACAGAGGGAGUAAUAAUCUUCAGCAAUUGAGAUUAAUGGUUAUAUAAAAAUUAAGAGUGGCAUGUACUAGUACUAAAAAUGAAGGAUAUUCGGUUUGGUCCUUUCACUAAAACAAGCAGGUAGCAUGGGGACUUCAGUAUCUACUAACUUCAAUUCUCUGGAGAUGCCACUUACUCUUUGUUGCUAAGUAGGUCUUGACUAG